UACGUAGGGUGCGAGCGUUGUCCGGAAUUACUGGGCGUAAAGAGCUCGUAGGUGGUUUGUCGCGUUGUUCGUGAAAACUCACAGCUUAACUGUGGGCGUGCGGGCGAUACGGGCGGACUGGAGUACUGCAGGGGAGACUGGAAUUCCUGGUGUAGCGGUGAAGUGCGCAGAUAUCAGGAGGAACACCGGUGGCGAAGGCGGGUCUCUGGGCAGUUACUGACGCUGAGGAGCGAAAGCGUGGGGAGCGAACAGG
RNAcentral lists this ribosomal RNA (253 nucleotides) under uncultured bacterium. RNAcentral describes it as "partial 16S ribosomal RNA". It matches the Rfam family "Bacterial small subunit ribosomal RNA", at positions 524 to 776 of the family's 1533-position model. The record is from RNAcentral.